This 914-nucleotide ribosomal RNA is filed under the name Phaeographis elliptica. Its description in RNAcentral is "LSU rRNA". It matches the Rfam family "Eukaryotic large subunit ribosomal RNA", at positions 48 to 982 of the family's 3401-position model. The record is from RNAcentral. Lineage: Eukaryota; Fungi; Ascomycota; Lecanoromycetes; Ostropales; Graphidaceae.
UACCGGGGGUCGGGACCACCGGGAUUGCCCUAGUAACGGCGAAGUGAAAGCGGCAAAAGCUCAAAUUUGAAAUCUGGCCCCCCCGGGGUCCGAAUUGUAAUUUGGAGAAGGUGCUUCGGGAACGACGGCGGCUCAAGUCCCUUGGAACGGGGCGUCAUAGAGGGUGAGAAUCCCGUAUGCGGCCGAUCGUCCGCCCCGUGUGAAGCCCUUUCGACGAGUCGGGUUGUUUGGGAAUGCAGCCCUAAGUGGGUGGUAAAUUUCAUCUAAAGCUAAAUACCUGCCAAAGACCGAUAGCGCACAAGUAGAGUGAUCGAAAGGUGAAAAGAACUUUGAAAAGAGAGUUAAACAGUACGUGAAAUUGUUGAAAGGGAAGCGCUUGCAGCCAGACUCGUACGCGGGGGCUCAGCCGCUCUGCGGGGCGGUGUACUCCCCCGCGCUCGGGCCAGCAUCGGUUCUGGCGGUCGGACAAAGGCCCCGGGAAUGUAGCUCCCUCCGGGGAGCGUUAUAGCCCGGGGUACAAUGCGGCCUGUCGGGACCGAGGAUCGCGCUUUUGCUAGGAUGCUGGCGUAAUGGCUGCCAGCGACCCGUCUUGAAACACGGACCAAGGAGUUAACGAACCUUGCGAGUGUUAGGGCGUAAAACCCUUGCGCGCAAUGAAAGUGAACGUAGGUGGGAGCCUUCGGGCGCACCAUCGACCGAUCUUGAUGUUUUCGGACGGAUUUGAGUACGAGCACGGUUCGUUUGACCCGAAAGAUGGUGAACUAUGCGUGAAUAGGGUGAAGCCAGAGGAAACUCUGGUGGAGGCUCGCAGCGGUUCUGACGUGCAAAUCGAUCGUCAAAUUUGCGCAUAGGGGCGAAAGACUAAUCGAACCAUCUAGUAGCUGGUUCCUGUCGUUUUCCCCCCCCAAAAAAAA